UACAGAGGUCCCAAGCGUUGUUCGGAUUCAUUGGGCGUAAAGGGUGCGUAGGCGGCGCGGUAAGUCGGGUGUGAAAUCUCGGAGCUUAACUCCGAAACUGCAUUCGAUACUGCCGUGCUUGAGGACUGGAGAGGAGACUGGAAUUUACGGUGUAGCAGUGAAAUGCGUAGAUAUCGUAAGGAAGACCAGUGGCGAAGGCGAGUCUCUGGACAGUUACUGACGCUGAGGCACGAAGGCCAGGGGAGCAAACGGG
RNAcentral lists this ribosomal RNA (253 nucleotides) under uncultured bacterium. RNAcentral describes it as "partial 16S ribosomal RNA". It matches the Rfam family "Bacterial small subunit ribosomal RNA", at positions 524 to 776 of the family's 1533-position model. The record is from RNAcentral.